AAGUCGUAACAAGGUAACCGUAGGUGAACCUGCGGUUGGAUCAUUAACAAAACUUUAUUGAUUUUUCCUUCCCUCACUUUUUUGUGGGGGGAAAAAGGGAAAUCUCUUUAACACUUUCCUUAAGUGUGAAAAAAAAAACUGUUUUGUUGGUGCGGGUAACGGAUUUUUUUAUUAAAGUCUUAAUGAGAAAAGGGUUACCUUUUUUCAGGCCCUCACCAAUUUUUUUUAAACUCUUUUUUUUUAACUUUAUUGCCUUUAAUUUUUAAAUUUAUUUUAAUUUGAAAAACAACUUUUAACAACGGAUCUCUAGGCUCUCA
Molecule: unclassified non-coding RNA, 317 nt
Filed under: fungal sp.
Lineage: Eukaryota; Fungi
Description: partial internal transcribed spacer region
Rfam family: Eukaryotic small subunit ribosomal RNA (bases 1-46)
Source: RNAcentral